RNAcentral lists this ribosomal RNA (876 nucleotides) under Calacarus carinatus. RNAcentral's name for it is "partial large subunit ribosomal RNA". It matches the Rfam family "Eukaryotic large subunit ribosomal RNA", at positions 366 to 944 of the family's 3401-position model. The record is from RNAcentral. Lineage: Eukaryota; Metazoa; Arthropoda; Arachnida; Trombidiformes; Eriophyidae.
AAAUAGAACUUUGCAGAGAGAGUUAACAGGGCGUGAAACCGUUAAUUGGCAAACGAAUCGGAGCCACGAAGUCGUUUCGCUGAUUAGUUGGGCCAAGUUCAGUCCAAGAUCGCAAGAUUUUGGGUGUAUUCUUGUAGUCCAACCUAACAUUGUAAACGUACACUGCAACCAGUUAGACGAUUGGCGAUGGGCCCAGCCGUUUGAGCCAGCAGCAGCUUGGUGCGCCUCGGCGUAUUCGAGUUGUUGGGCGCAGGCGGGAGAACUAUCGCCAAACACUGACUGGCAAAAUAAAAAUCACUCGCAGAGUGUUUGAAUAGAACGCGGCCGUCCACAUGGGUGUCCACAUGCUUGACCGUUUGGCUUAAGCUCAGCAUUUUUAAAUUCAAACUUGCUUGCUACCAGUGGGGCAACUCCUGGUGCUUGUAUUGCUUUGUCUAAUUGGGUGUUGACUUGGUUAGGCGUCGUUCGAGCAUGCAACGAUCGGGCGCCUAUGUGAGGUGGUUCGCAAUCAUUGGCAGUGAGUAGGUCGGCUUUCCGAACGACCCGUCUUGAAACACGGACCAAGGAGUCUAAUUAGGCAUCAAGUCGAUCGGUCUUGACUAGGCCAGAUUGGGGAGUUCUCCCCGCUUGAAGGCGUAGAGACAAUCAUGUGAUCGGUGAGCAACAACAGCUUGCGCGCGCAACAUGUGCCUGCUCGUGUGGCAAUGUAGCAAUAAUUGCCGGGCGGAGUAAAGAGAUGCCUGAUUGGUACCCGAAAGAUGGUGAUGCCUGGGCAAAUUGAAGCCAGAGGAAACUCUGGUGGAGGAUUGUAGCGAUUCUGACGUGCAAAUCGAUCGUCAGACCUGGGUAUAGGGGCGAAAGACUAAUCGAACCAUC